RNAcentral lists this long non-coding RNA (203 nucleotides) under Mytilus galloprovincialis (Mediterranean mussel). Lineage: Eukaryota; Metazoa; Mollusca; Bivalvia; Mytilida; Mytilidae. The record is from RNAcentral.
UGGCUGUACAGUAAUCUGUAUUUUUUUUAUCUUUCCACCUUGAUUUUAAGUGUGCACCGUAAUUAUCUCGUUGACAAUCAUACCACGAGAUAAUUACGGUACACACUUAAAAUAUAAGAAUAUUUAUAAAUAUGUAUUGAAACAAUAUACAAAAUAAACACAAAAUAAAAAGAAGAAACAGAGGUAGAAGCACUAAGUCUUAG